GGUAAAAUGGCUGAGUAAAGCAAUAGACUGUAAAUCUAAGAACAGAGGUCUAAUUCCUCUUUUUACCA
Molecule: transfer RNA, 68 nt
Filed under: Ovis aries (sheep)
Lineage: Eukaryota; Metazoa; Chordata; Mammalia; Artiodactyla; Bovidae
Description: tRNA-Tyr
Rfam family: tRNA
About the family: Transfer RNA (tRNA) molecules are approximately 80 nucleotides in length. Their secondary structure includes four short double-helical elements and three loops (D, anti-codon, and T loops). Further hydrogen bonds mediate the characteristic L-shaped molecular structure. tRNAs have two regions of fundamental functional importance: the anti-codon, which is responsible for specific mRNA codon recognition, and the 3' end, to which the tRNAs corresponding amino acid is attached (by aminoacyl-tRNA synthetases). tRNAs cope with the degeneracy of the genetic code in two manners: having more than one tRNA (with a specific anti-codon) for a particular amino acid; and 'wobble' base-pairing, i.e. permitting non-standard base-pairing at the 3rd anti-codon position.
Source: RNAcentral